Long non-coding RNA from Topomyia yanbarensis, 591 nucleotides. RefSeq lists it as uncharacterized. Lineage: Eukaryota; Metazoa; Arthropoda; Insecta; Diptera; Culicidae. The record is from RefSeq and is a predicted model, not a curated record. The transcript has 3 exons.
UUUUCGUGCAGUUAGCCAAGGGCAAUACUAAUUUCACUUACACAGCUUUGUAUAAGUUGAAAUCUUAUCCGGAUAUCAGUAGUCGUUUAACUCUGAACCUAUGAAGGUCAGAAUCCGCGCGUGAUUUCGAGAGGAUUUCCAGGGCCAUGAUUCGCAGACGUCUCCGCGAUUUGGAGCUAGGAUAUUCAAUACAACGUUCAUCUCCACGUAUAGACCAGCUUUACCGCCAUGAAUGAUCUCCCAGUCACCGUUCUGGAUAGGGAAUUAGAUGCUACUUUUGGCUAAGUUGUGGCCUUUUAUCACCAAGGAGUGUUGAAGGUCAUGAGGUUUGGUCUACCCGGUUUUCAGCAAAUUUGCUGGCCAGACACCAAUAUUGCGGCCAUUAGAAUCAGUUAGUUCGUACGAAGAUGACCCGUGCUUGGCCACAACAGUGCAAGGAUUCCGUUCAACCGACGACGGCGCCUACACCGAGAUUCGUCAUCGCUAAUACACACGUUUCGGAGUGCUAAUUCGUAAUCAAGUUCGCCCGCGGUAAGAUGAUCAACCCGCAGGUUGUGAUAGAGUGUCCCGAAAUCUGUACCCGAGACUGAA